Molecule: ribosomal RNA, 301 nt
Filed under: uncultured bacterium
Lineage: Bacteria
Description: partial 16S ribosomal RNA
Rfam family: Bacterial small subunit ribosomal RNA
Source: RNAcentral
CAGCCGCCGCGGUAAUACGUAGGGUGCAAGCGUUAAUCGGAAUUACUGGGCGUAAAGCGUGCGCAGGCGGUUUUGUAAGACAGAGGUGAAAUCCCCGGGCUCAACCUGGGAACUGCCUUUGUGACUGCAAGGCUAGAGUACGGCAGAGGGGGAUGGAAUUCCGCGUGUAGCAGUGAAAUGCGUAGAUAUGCGGAGGAACACCGAUGGCGAAGGCAAUCCCCUGGGCCUGUACUGACGCUCAUGCACGAAAGCGUGGGGAGCAAACAGGAUUAGAUACCCCAGUAGUCCCUGUCUUCUUAUU